Molecule: ribosomal RNA, 450 nt
Filed under: uncultured bacterium
Lineage: Bacteria
Description: partial 16S ribosomal RNA
Rfam family: Bacterial small subunit ribosomal RNA
Source: RNAcentral
GUGGGGAAUCUUCCGCAAUGGACGAAAGUCUGACGGAGCAACGCCGCGUGAACGAUGACGGCCUUCGGGUUGUAAAGUUCUGUUAUACGGGACGAAUGGUACGACGGCCAAUACCCGUCGUAAGUGACGGUACCGUAAGAGAAAGCCACGGCUAACUACGUGCCAGCAGCCGCGGUAAUACGUAGGUGGCAAGCGUUGUCCGGAAUUAUUGGGCGUAAAGGGCGCGCAGGCGGCGUCGUAAGUCGGUCUUAAAAGUGCGGGGCUUAACCCCGUGAGGGGACCGAAACUGCGAUGCUAGAGUAUCGGAGAGGAAAGCGGAAUUCCUAGUGUAGCGGUGAAAUGCGUAGAUAUUAGGAGGAACACCAGUGGCGAAAGCGGCUUUCUGGACGAUGUCUGACGCUGAGGCGCGAAAGCUAGGGGAGCGAACGGGAUUAGAUACCCUAGUAGUCC